CAGUCGAACGGGAAUCUUCGGAUUCUAGUGGCGGACGGGUGAGUAACGCGUAAGAAUCUAACUUCAGGACGGGGACAACAGUUGGAAACGACUGCUAAUACCCGAUAUGCCGCGAGGUGAAACCUAAUUGGCCUGAAGAAGAGCUUGCGUCUGAUUAGCUAGUUGGUGGGGUAAGAGCCUACCAAGGCGACGAUCAGUAGCUGGUCUGAGAGGAUGAGCAGCCACACUGGGACUGAGACACGGCCCAGACUCCUACGGGAGGCAGCAGUGGGGAAUUUUCCGCAAUGGGCGAAAGCCUGACGGAGCAACGCCGCGUGAGGGAGGAAGGUCUUUGGAUUGUAAACCUCUUUUCUCAAGGAAGAAGUUCUGACGGUACUUGAGGAAUCAGCCUCGGCUAACUCCGUGCCAGCAGCCGCGGUAAUACGGGGGAGGCAAGCGUUAUCCGGAAUUAUUGGGCGUAAAGCGUCCGCAGGUGGUCAGCCAAGUCUGCUGUCAAAUCAGGUUGCUUAACGACCUAAAGGCGGUGGAAACUGGCAGACUAGAGAGCAGUAGGGGUAGCAGGAAUUCCCAGUGUAGCGGUGAAAUGCGUAGAGAUUGGGAAGAACAUCGGUGGCGAAAGCGUGCUACUGGGCUGUAUCUGACACUCAGGGACGAAAGCUAGGGGAGCGAAAGGGAUUAGAUACCCCUGUAGUCCUAGCCGUAAACGAUGGAUACUAGGCGUGGCUUGUAUCGACCCGAGCCGUGCCGAAGCUAACGCGUUAAGUAUCCCGCCUGGGGAGUACGCACGCAAGUGUGAAACUCAAAGGAAUUGACGG
This 815-nucleotide ribosomal RNA is filed under the name uncultured bacterium. RNAcentral describes it as "bacterial SSU rRNA". It matches the Rfam family "Bacterial small subunit ribosomal RNA", at positions 59 to 916 of the family's 1533-position model. The record is from RNAcentral.